Molecule: ribosomal RNA, 253 nt
Filed under: uncultured bacterium
Lineage: Bacteria
Description: partial 16S ribosomal RNA
Rfam family: Bacterial small subunit ribosomal RNA
Source: RNAcentral
UACGGAGGGGGCUAGCGUUGUUCGGAAUUACUGGGCGUAAAGCGCGCGUAGGCGGCUUUGUAAGUUAGAGGUGAAAGCCCGGAGCUCAACUCCGGAACUGCCUUUAAGACUGCAUAGCUAGAACGAUGGAGAGGUGAGUGGAAUUCCGAGUGUAGAGGUGAAAUUCGUAGAUAUUCGGAAGAACACCAGUGGCGAAGGCGACUCACUGGACAUCUGUUGACGCUGAGGUGCGAAAGCGUGGGGAGCAAACAGG